GGGAUACAAUAUGAGGCGGGCUGGACCUCUCGGGGUUACAGCCUUGCUGAAUUAUUCACCCUUGUCUUUUGCGUACUUCUUGUUUCCUUGGUGGGUUCGCCCACCACUAGGACAAACAUAAACCUUUUGUAAUUGCAAUCAGCGUCAGUAACAAAUUAAUAAUUACAACUUUCAACAACGGAUCUCUUGGUUCUGGCAUCGAUGAAGAACGCAGCGAAAUGCGAUAAGUAGUGUGAAUUGCAGAAUUCAGUGAAUCAUCGAAUCUUUGAACGCACAUUGCGCCCUUUGGUAUUCCAAAGGGCAUGCCUGUUCGAGCGUCAUUUGUACCCUCAAGCUUUGCUUGGUGUUGGGCGUCUUGUCUCUAGCUUUGCUGGAGACUCGCCUUAAAGUAAUUGGCAGCCGGCCUACUGGUUUCGGAGCGCAGCACAAGUCGCACUCUCUAUCAGCAAAGGUCUAGCAUCCAUUAAGCCUUUUUUUCAACUUUUGACCUCGGAUCAGGUAGGGAUACCCGCUGAACUUAAGCAUACA
This 528-nucleotide ribosomal RNA is filed under the name Alternaria alternata. Its description in RNAcentral is "eukaryotic LSU rRNA". The stretch from base 167 to 320 matches the Rfam family "5.8S ribosomal RNA". The record is from RNAcentral. Lineage: Eukaryota; Fungi; Ascomycota; Dothideomycetes; Pleosporales; Pleosporaceae. RNAcentral also lists the same sequence under 1 other name.